This 492-nucleotide ribosomal RNA is filed under the name uncultured bacterium. RNAcentral describes it as "partial 16S ribosomal RNA". It matches the Rfam family "Bacterial small subunit ribosomal RNA", at positions 29 to 507 of the family's 1533-position model. The record is from RNAcentral.
AGUGAACGCUGGCGGUAGGCCUAACACAUGCAAGUCGAACGGCAGCACAGUAAGAGCUUGCUCUUACGGGUGGCGAGUGGCGGACGGGUGAGGAAUACAUCGGAAUCUACUUUUUCGUGGGGGAUAACGUAGGGAAACUUACGCUAAUACCGCAUACGACCUACGGGUGAAAGCAGGGGAUCUUCGGACCUUGCGCGAUUGAAUGAGCCGAUGUCGGAUUGGCUAGUUGGCGGGGUAAAGGCCCACCAAGGCGACGAUCCGUAGCUGGUCUGAGAGGAUGAUCAGCCACACUGGGACUGAGACACGGUCCAGACUCCUAUGGGAGGCAGCAGUGGGGACUAUUGGACAAUGGGCGCAAGCCUGAUCCAGCCAUACCGCGUGGGUGAAGAAGGCCUUCGUGUUGUAAAGCCCUUUUGUUGGGAAAGAAAAGCAGCAGGUUAAUACCCCGCUGUUCUGACGGUACCCAAAGAAUAAGCACCGGCUAACUUCGUG